Triplophysa rosa is the source of this 1148-nucleotide long non-coding RNA. RefSeq lists it as uncharacterized. The transcript has 4 exons. Lineage: Eukaryota; Metazoa; Chordata; Actinopteri; Cypriniformes; Nemacheilidae. The record is from RefSeq and is a predicted model, not a curated record.
UGCGCCGUGUGGUUGGCACGCAGUGAUGCGAUCUUCCUCGGAAGACACUCCAAAAACAGCGAUCUCAACACGAGUGUUUUUGCUAACGAAUAGAAGCGUUUGGACUCAUUAUAAGCGUUCCCAGGAGACGGGGAAGUCGUCUAAAGGCGCCUUCCAUUCGCAGAAAGAAGAAGCGCACUUUAAAACCGCAACUUCGCUCAUAUGAUGUGACUGUAAAGAGCGUCUGGAUCUAGGGGGAGAGGGGGGACUUUCCGUACUAUCCGCAUUCACUUUACGGAAUAUUCUUUUUUUACAGUAGCAUAAGUGCAUCCUGGUGAGUGGAUUUAUUUCUUAUCUUGUAUUAAAGAACCAGGUUUACACGGAGACCACAUGAGCUGCUCCUGAGCAAACAAUCAGAGAGACAGGCAACAAUAGAGGAAGAGAGUUCAACCCAUGGAAUUUCAUCAUAUCUUAUCUUGUAGUGGCUCUUCAGCGGCUCUUCUUGCAAUAAGCACAAUUUAUUUUCUGCAAUCCAAGAUAGUGAGAUAUUACCAGAUGUCAACCUGCUUGCUUCUGACAAACGGAAGCCACAGCAAUAUGACUGAUUAUUUUAGUCGUGACCACCAGUAGGCUAUGGAAGAAAAACUCAGCAUCAUAUUUGUGAAUUUGUUUUCCCAGCCACAAACUGUUGAUGUCACAGUCUUGCAACCUUGCCAAAACACAUAUUUAAGUGGCAGUAAUAAUCAAUGCAUUUCUGAACUCAGGAAAUCAAUAUCCUCCCACGACUUCUGUUUCAAUCCAUAGAGUUUGAAGGUUAACACUAUUUGCUGUGAAAGAAGUUUAAAAAGUGCGUUGCACACGGCGAGUCCCCUCUAUUCACAGUGUGCUAUUUGUCUUGCCUGGGUGAUGGAAAUUUGGCAAUUCGUUUGGUUUGGAGGACAAUAUGGAUAGUUUAAAAUUCAGAGAGAAAACGUAUAAUUGAAGAUGACCUUAAAAGCAACCAAAACAUGGUUUUUAAGGCUCCUUCCUGUUGUGCUAUUCUUCAUCUGUUACUAUUGCUCUCAGAUUUACUUUGACAGCUAUGGCAGCAGUGGAAAGUCUCCUAAGACGACUGUUUCUCUGUGUGACAUUAACAGUUCACAGAGGAAGUGGAGCAGUCUCCAUUUGAA